RNAcentral lists this ribosomal RNA (253 nucleotides) under uncultured bacterium. RNAcentral's name for it is "partial 16S ribosomal RNA". It matches the Rfam family "Bacterial small subunit ribosomal RNA", at positions 524 to 776 of the family's 1533-position model. The record is from RNAcentral.
UACGUAGGGGGCAAGCGUUGUCCGGAUUUACUGGGUGUAAAGGGCGCGCAGGUGGGCUUGAUAGUUAGAGGUGAAAUCCUGUGGCUUAACUGCAGAACUGCCUUUAAUACUUCAAGUCUUGAGUGCGGAAGAGAGAGACGGAAUUCCAGGUGUAGUGGUGAAAUACGUAGAUAUCUGGAAGAACACCAGUUGCGAAGGCGGUCUCUUGGUCCGUAACUGACACUUAGGCGCGAAAGCGUGGGGAGCAAACAGG